RNAcentral lists this ribosomal RNA (468 nucleotides) under uncultured bacterium. Its description in RNAcentral is "partial 16S ribosomal RNA". It matches the Rfam family "Bacterial small subunit ribosomal RNA", at positions 28 to 507 of the family's 1533-position model. The record is from RNAcentral.
GACGAACGCUGGCGGCGUGCCUAACACAUGCAAGUCGAACGGAAAGGCCCUGUUCUUGUGCGGUGCUCGAGUGGCGAAAGCGGGAGUAUCACGCGAGUAACCUGCCCUUGUCUUUGGGAGAACAUAAGGAAACUGGGGUUAAUAUAGGACAGGAGAUCCUGCAGCACGGUGGGGGUGGGAAAGUUUCGGCGGUUGUGGAUGGACUCGCGGCUUAUCAGUUUGUUGGUGGGGUAGUGGCUUACCACGGCAUUGACGGGUAGCCGGCCUGAGAGGGUGACCGGCCACAAUGGGCCUGAGAUAGGGCCCAGACUCCUACGGGAGGCAGCGGUGGAGAAUAUUGCACAAUGGGCGGAAGCCGGAUGCAGCGACGCCGCGUGCGGGAUGACGGCCUGCGGGUAGUAAACCGCUUUCGCCUGUGACGCAGCGUGAGUGACGGUAAUGAGUAAAGAAGCACCGGCUAACUACGUG